GAUGAACGCAGGCGGCGCGCCUAACACAUGCAAGUCGAACGAUUAAAGCACCUUCGGGUGUGUAUAAAGUGGCGAACGGCUGAGUAACACGUGGGCAACCUGCCCCUCUCAUUGGGAUAGCCACGGGAAACCGUGGAUAAUACCGAAUACUUCGAGACUUCCGCAUGGAAGACUCGAGAAAGCUCCGGCGGAGAGGGAUGGGCCCGCGGCCUGUUAGCUUGUUGGUGGGGUAACGGCCUACCAAGGCAAUGAUGGGUAGCUGGGUUGAGAGACCGACCAGCCAGAUUGGGACUGAGACACGGCCCAGACUCCUACGGGGGGCAGCAGUGGGGAAUCUUGCACAAUGGGCGAAAGCCUGAUGCAGCGACGCCGCGUGCGGGAUGAAGGCCUUCGGGUUGUAAACCGCUUUCAGCAGGGACGAGGCGAAAGUGACGGUACCUGCAGAAGAAGCCCCGGCUAACUACGUGCCAGCAGCCGCGGUAAUACGUAGGGGGCAAGCGUUAUCCGGAUUCAUUGGGCGUAAAGCGCUCGUAGGCGGUCUGUUAGGUCGGGAGUUAAAUCCGGGGGCUCAACCCCCGUUCGCUCCCGAUACCGGCAGACUUGAGUUUGGUAGGGGAAGGUGGAAUUCCUAGUGUAGCGGUGGAAUGCGCAGAUAUUAGGAAGAACACCAGUGGCGAAGGCGGCCUUCUGGGCCAUAACUGACGCUGAGGAGCGAAAGCUAGGGGAGCAAACAGG
Molecule: ribosomal RNA, 735 nt
Filed under: uncultured Atopobium sp.
Lineage: Bacteria; Bacillati; Actinomycetota; Coriobacteriia; Coriobacteriales; Atopobiaceae
Description: bacterial SSU rRNA
Rfam family: Bacterial small subunit ribosomal RNA
Source: RNAcentral